RNAcentral lists this ribosomal RNA (253 nucleotides) under uncultured bacterium. Its description in RNAcentral is "partial 16S ribosomal RNA". It matches the Rfam family "Bacterial small subunit ribosomal RNA", at positions 524 to 776 of the family's 1533-position model. The record is from RNAcentral.
UACGUAGGGUGCGAGCGUUGUCCGGAAUUAUUGGGCGUAAAGAGCUCGUAGGCGGUUUGUCGCGUCGACUGUGAAAACCCGAGGCUUAACCUCGGGCCUGCAGUCGAUACGGGCAGACUAGAGUUCGGUAGGGGAGACUGGAAUUCCUGGUGUAGCGGUGAAAUGCGCAGAUAUCAGGAGGAACACCGGUGGCGAAGGCGGCCCACUGGUCCGGUACUGACGCUGAGGUGCGAAAGCGUGGGGAGCAAACAGG